This 369-nucleotide ribosomal RNA is filed under the name uncultured bacterium. RNAcentral describes it as "bacterial SSU rRNA". It matches the Rfam family "Bacterial small subunit ribosomal RNA", at positions 527 to 896 of the family's 1533-position model. The record is from RNAcentral.
GUAGGGUGCAAGCGUUAAUCGGAAUUACUGGGCGUAAAGCGUGCGCAGGCGGUUAUGUAAGACAGAUGUGAAAUGCCCGGGCUCAACCUGGGAACUGCAUUUGUGACUGCAUGGCUAGAGUGUGUCAGAGGGGGGUAGAAUUCCACGUGUAGCAGUGAAAUGCGUAGAUAUGUGGAGGAAUACCGAUGGCGAAGGCAGCCCCCUGGGAUGACACUGACGCUCAUGCACGAAAGCGUGGGGAGCAAACAGGAUUAGAUACCCUGGUAGUCCACGCCCUAAACGAUGUCUACUAGUUGUCGGGUCUUAAUUGACUUGGUAACGCAGCUAACGCGUGAAGUAGACCGCCUGGGGAGUACGGUCGCAAGAUUA